UACGGGGGGGACAAGCGUUGUUCGGAAUUACUGGGCGUAAAGGGUUCGUAGGUGGCCAACUAAGUCAGACGUGAAAUCCCUCAGCUUAACUGGGGAACUGCGUCUGAGACUGGAUGGCUUGAGUGCAGGAGAGGAACGCGGAAUUCCAGGUGUAGCGGUGAAAUGCGUAGAUAUCUGGAGGAACACCGGUGGCGAAGGCGGCGUUCUGGACUGCAACUGACACUGAGGAACGAAAGCCAGGGGAGCAAACGGG
RNAcentral lists this ribosomal RNA (253 nucleotides) under uncultured bacterium. Its description in RNAcentral is "partial 16S ribosomal RNA". It matches the Rfam family "Bacterial small subunit ribosomal RNA", at positions 524 to 776 of the family's 1533-position model. The record is from RNAcentral.